This is a long non-coding RNA of Musca vetustissima, 172 nucleotides long. RefSeq lists it as uncharacterized. The record is from RefSeq and is a predicted model, not a curated record. Lineage: Eukaryota; Metazoa; Arthropoda; Insecta; Diptera; Muscidae. The transcript has 3 exons.
ACCGCCGCGCGACAACAUGAUGCCUGGUAUGGCUGGACCACGUGGUCCCCAAGGAAAGAAUGCUCGCCCUGCUUCCCCUACACUGUUAGACAACACGGGCCACCCUGCCCCCGAUCACCAAACGCAGGGGAUGAUCGGUCGCGGUGGUAAUGUUGUUGGCGGAAUGCAACAA